RNAcentral lists this ribosomal RNA (234 nucleotides) under uncultured bacterium. Its description in RNAcentral is "partial 16S ribosomal RNA". It matches the Rfam family "Bacterial small subunit ribosomal RNA", at positions 103 to 334 of the family's 1533-position model. The record is from RNAcentral.
CGGGUGAGUAACACGUAGGUAAUCUACCUUCGGGACUGACAUAACUCCGGGAAACCGUAGCUAAUAUCAGAUAAAGCAACUACUCGGCAUCGGGUCGGUUGUGAAAUCCUUCGGGAGCCUGUAGAUGAGCCUGCGGUCCAUUAGGUUGUUGGUGAAGUAAAGGUUCACCAAGCCGACGAUGGAUAGCUGGUCUGAGAGGACGAUCAGCCACACUGGAACUGAGACACGGUCCAG